This 253-nucleotide ribosomal RNA is filed under the name uncultured bacterium. RNAcentral describes it as "partial 16S ribosomal RNA". It matches the Rfam family "Bacterial small subunit ribosomal RNA", at positions 524 to 776 of the family's 1533-position model. The record is from RNAcentral.
UACGUAGGUGGCAAGCGUUGUCCGGAAUUAUUGGGCGUAAAGGGCGCGUAGGCGGCACCCUAAGUCAGAUGUGAAACCCCGGGGCUCAACCCCGGACUGGCAUUUGAAACUGGGGAGCUAGAGUGCAGGAGAGGUAAGUGGAAUUCCUAGUGUAGCGGUGAAAUGCGUAGAUAUUAGGAGGAACACCAGUGGCGAAGGCGACUUACUGGACUGUAACUGACGCUGAGGCGCGAAAGUGUGGGGAGCAAACAGG